AUCCAGCUGACGAGUUCUAAAUAGGACAAAACACGCGUCAAACUGGAU
Molecule: non-coding RNA, 48 nt
Organism: Schistosoma mattheei
Lineage: Eukaryota; Metazoa; Platyhelminthes; Trematoda; Strigeidida; Schistosomatidae
Source: Rfam